AAGUCGUAACAAGGUUUCCGUAGGUGAACCUGCGGAAGGAUCAUUACUGAGUUGUUGAAGCAGGCUGCUGCUGGCUCCUUUCGGGAGCAUGUGCACGCUUGUUCACAUCCCAUCCUUCACACUUGUGCACCAUCUGUAGUUCCGAGCUGAUUAUCAGAGGCGCUCGCUCGCCUCAAAAGCUCGGUUCUAUGUUAUUUCAAUGACUUAGUUCAAUAGAAUGUGUUCACAGGCGUGUACAACGUCUGAUAAUAAUAUAUAUAUAACUUUCAGCAACGGAUCUCUUGGCUCUCGCAUCGAUGAAGAACGCAGCGAAAUGCGAUAAGUAAUGUGAAUUGCAGAAUUCAGUGAAUCAUCGAAUCUUUGAACGCACCUUGCACCCUUUGGCAUUCCAAAGGGUAUGCCUGUUUGAGUAUCAUGAAAUUCUCAACUCCCCUCGGAUUCCAUCUGUAGGGUGAGCUUGGGCUUGGAGGUUUCUGCUGGCGUUCGCCGGCUCCUCUUGAAAUCAUUAGCUUUGAGUUGAUCUCGAUGGCUCGACCGGUGUGAUAAACAUCUACGCCGAUUUGUGCCGUCCUGAGCGACGAACGUUGGAGACGCUCUGGCUUAUAACUGUCUUCACCAGAGGACGACGCCCUGAACUUUUGAUCUCAAAUCAGGUAGGACUACCCGCUGAACUUAAGCAUAUCAAUAAGCGGAGGAAAAGAAACUAACAAGGAUUCCCUAGUAACUGCGAGUGAAGCGGGAAGAGCUCAAAUUUAAAAUCUGGCGUCCUCCGGUCGUCCGAGUUGUAGUCUGGAGAAGCGUUUUCCGUGUUGGACCGUGUGUAAGUCCCUUGGAACAGGGCGUCAUAGAGGGUGAGAAUCCCGUCUUUGACACGGACUACCAAUGCUUUGUGAUGCGCUCUCAAAGAGUCGAGUUGUUUGGGAAUGCAGCUCAAAAUGGGUGGUAAAUUCCAUCUAAAGCUAAAUAUAGGCGAGAGACCGAUAGCGAACAAGUACCGUGAGGGAAAGAUGAAAAGCACUUUGGAAAGAGAGUUAAACAGUACGUGAAAUUGCUGAAAGGGAAACGCUUGAAGUCAGUCACGUCUGCCGGGACUCAGCCUCGCUUCUGCUUGGUGUACUUUCUGGUUUGAUGGGCCAACAUCAAUUUUGACCGUUGGAGAAAGGCCUCGGGAAUGUGGCACCUUCGGGUGUGUUAUAGCCCUUUGCUGUAUACGACGGUUGGGAUUGAGGACUGCAGCACGCCUUCAUGGCCGGGGUUCGCCCACGUACGUGCUUAGGAUGUUGGCAUAAUGGCUUUAAGCGACC
This 1304-nucleotide ribosomal RNA is filed under the name uncultured fungus. Its description in RNAcentral is "eukaryotic LSU rRNA". The stretch from base 640 to 1304 matches the Rfam family "Eukaryotic large subunit ribosomal RNA", at positions 1 to 649 of the family's 3401-position model. Lineage: Eukaryota; Fungi. The record is from RNAcentral.